Molecule: transfer RNA, 71 nt
Filed under: Actinomycetota bacterium
Lineage: Bacteria; Bacillati; Actinomycetota
Description: tRNA-Gly
Rfam family: tRNA
About the family: Transfer RNA (tRNA) molecules are approximately 80 nucleotides in length.
Source: RNAcentral
GCGGGUGUAGCUCAAUGGCAGAGCUCUAGCCUUCCAAGCUAGUGAUGAGGGUUCGAUCCCCUUCACCCGCU